AAGACAGCCACCUCGCCAAGAUCGUGUCUCCCCUUUCUGAGGAAGCCCAGAGCUGAUGACUGGCCAUAUGGAUAUAAAACGCACAACCCCCUCAGGGGAACUCCGACUCGGGCAUCUCUGAAGGACUAUGGGGUCCAGUGCAGCACAGAGUGGGACAUUACUUUCUGCUGGGAAGACCCACUUCCCAAUCAAGGGAGCAUUUGGUCUGAGUCCUGAAGGGUGGUUGGUUAAGUGGCAAAUACGCAGAGCUGGAGAAUGAAGGAUUUUUUUUUUUAAUACUUUAAGUUCUAGGAUACACGCGCACAAUGUGCAGGCUCAGCUUUCUCAUCACUGAACUGGAGAUACAGGUAAUAGUAAUAUCUACCCCUGGAGGUAUUUUUAAAUACUUCCACAGUACCUGACACGUGGUAAGUUUUAACAAUGCUGAUGGAGGAAACAUUUGGAUGUUUCCAGCCAAAUUGGAGGAAUCAACGAGUCUUGUCUACUGAUUAGAUAUAGAGGUCGGAAGAUGGAGGAUGGAGGUGAAGCCAAGAUGGCUCUAGGUAUCUGGCCUGAGCAAGAGAACUGACAACAGUUGGUAUUUGGGUUUGACUUGAAGGCAACUGUGGGCCAUCUAGAUGGAGAGAGGUACAGUGGCAUCUUGGAAUUUCUAAAAUAAAAUACAU
RNAcentral lists this long non-coding RNA (665 nucleotides) under Homo sapiens (human). RNAcentral describes it as "RASGRF2 antisense RNA 1". Lineage: Eukaryota; Metazoa; Chordata; Mammalia; Primates; Hominidae. The record is from RNAcentral.